GAUGAAGAACGUAGCGAAAUGCGAUAAGUAAUGUGAAUUGCAGAAUUCAGUGAAUCAUCGAAUCUUUGAACGCACAUUGCGCCCGCCAGUAUUCUGGCGGGCAUGCCUGUUCGAGCGUCAUUUCAACCCUCAAGCCCCCGGGCUUGGUGUUGGGGAUCGGCGUGCCCUCGCGGCGCGCCGUCCCCUAAAUCUAGUGGCGGUCUCGCUGUAGCUUCCUCUGCGUAGUAGCAACACUCGCACUGGAUCGCAGCGCGGCCACGCCGUUAAACCCCCCACUUCUGAAAGUUUGACCUCGGAUCAGGUAGGGAUACCCGCUGAACUUAAGCAUAUCAAUAAGCGGAGGA
RNAcentral lists this unclassified non-coding RNA (344 nucleotides) under soil metagenome. RNAcentral describes it as "partial contains 5.8S ribosomal RNA, internal transcribed spacer 2, and large subunit ribosomal RNA". The stretch from base 1 to 120 matches the Rfam family "5.8S ribosomal RNA", at positions 35 to 154 of the family's 154-position model. The record is from RNAcentral.